Stegostoma tigrinum is the source of this 1982-nucleotide long non-coding RNA. RefSeq lists it as uncharacterized. Lineage: Eukaryota; Metazoa; Chordata; Chondrichthyes; Orectolobiformes; Stegostomatidae. The transcript has 5 exons. The record is from RefSeq and is a predicted model, not a curated record.
CAACACAUUGUUUCCCAGAUGUGGACGUGGACUCCUUUGGUUGCUUUGCUGGAAAUGUUGAUGAAGUCACCUUUAAAAGUUGAUUCAGAUUAGCUCUUGAAAUCAGUGACACUUGUCAUUUCGAUUAGAAGUGCUCCACAUUGGGGAUUUGGCAGUGGCAUUUGAGGAAGGCGUGAAAGACCACCACAUUAAAGUAAAAAUGCUCUAGUAAGACGGAUUUUAGUCUAGGAGCUGACUUGGAACAUCAGUUGCAACAUCAGCUGGGAUCAUGACAAUAUACAUCCACUCCAACAAAGGAUAAAUUCACAUAUUGGGAGUUGAAGACUGCCCAUAACAUGGAAAGGCAUCAAGACUCAGGAAUACAUAAAUGGACCUAUGUUGGCAGUAAAGCAGACGAUUUGACAUGAAUAAUGCUGUGGCUAGAAUCCUUGUGACCCUGCUUCAACUCCAAAGACAAACUGAAAGGAGACAACAAUUAGCGCAUGCUCACAGCCUCCAGACGGAAAAGCAACCCAAACCAAGGAGGCAGUGGAGAAUGAGGCUGCAUCAAAUCAACAGGCCUCAUUGUCAUUUUUGUCCACUGCCUGAAAUGCAGUGCAAAAGCCGAGUGAGGAUGUCUCAUGCCAUCAUUACCAAACUCCAUCUUUCGCUGCAGCAGGGCUUGUGUUCAGAAGGACUGUUGGCUAGCCCACCCAUGUGUAUUGAGGUCUUGGCCGCUUUGAAUGUUUUUGUCACUGGCUCAUUUUAAGGAGUAACUGAAGACCUGUGCAGCCAUUGGUUGCAGGAUAGCAUAGCUCUGUCCACCAUUUGCUGUUUACACUGUUUGGCAUGCAAGUAGCCCUGUUUUUAGCUUCACCAGGUUGCCACUUCAUUUUCAGGUAUGCCUGAUGUUGCUUCUGGCAUGGCCUCCUGCAUUCUUUGUUGAACCAGAGUUGAUUCCCUGGCAUCAUGGUAAUGGUUAAAUGGGAAAUAUGCUGGCCCAUGAGUUGACAAGUUGUGCUGGAGUUCAACGUUUGACAGGUUCAAAAUACAUUCAAUGUUGCCUACAAUAAAGUUUGGGCUAUGCUGUAACAUAUUGAAUAGGUUACUCAAACUAGUUCACGGAUCACUGUGGAGCUGUGCAAUACCACAAUUUGUUGAAGAAGAAUACAGAUAAAGGCUAUGGUUGGCACCAUGCUGAAAAUAACUUUUAUGCUAUACUGCUGAGAAGGCAAAUUGUAAACACUGGUUUGGUGCAUUCAGAACUCAGGGAGAAGUUCCGGAAACUAGCAGGAAGCUCAGUGUUAGAGUUAGUGUUCAGGAAAAUCCUGGGAGCUGAAGGGAUUAGAAGACGCAGUGUACCAUUACUCAUUUUUAAACGCUCACAAACAGUAAUCGUAUUGUGCAACUACGCCAGAUUAAAGCUCAGGGUACAAACCCAAGGGCAGUACAUGUUUGGUGAAGCUAGCCCUCUGUGAAAAAGCUGGCAUUAUACCUAUGAAUAGUGCUGCAGUAAAGUCUCCAUGAUCCAGAGAAGCAUCAUUAGAGGCAGAGAAGGUAAACAAUCAGAAAGGGAGCAAUUAAUGAGCUAGAUCUUGACCAAAAGUGCUUGAGAGAAUUUCAAGGUCAGGUCAUCAGAUGUGAAGAAUUGAAAUCUUAUGUGAAAUUUUAGUGAGAUUUGGUGACCCACAGUAUCACUAACAUGUAUGGAGGGUGUUGGAGGGGAUGGGUAUCGCCGGUAAGAAAUCUAAGGAAUCAGUCUUAAUCGCUGUCCCUAUUUGAUUUUUUUGGGGUAUCCAACCAUUAUUUAUCUGUUCACUGGGCCGGAAAUGUUAACUCUGUUUUCUCCUUCACAGAUGCUGUCAGACCUGCUGAGCUUUUCCAGCAACUUUGUUUUUGUUCCUGAUUUACAGCAUCCGCAGUCCUUUUGGUUUUUAUUAUUUAUCUUAGUUGCCUCAUUUUGAGUUUGGGAUGUUAGAAUUUAAGUUAUAUCUAUCAUUGUA